GACGAACGCUGGCGGCGUGCUUAACACAUGCAAGUCGAACGGAAAGGCCCUGCUUUUGUGGGGUGCUCGAGUGGCGAACGGGUGAGUAACACGUGAGUAACCUGCCCUUGACUUUGGGAUAACUUCAGGAAACUGGGGCUAAUACCGGAUAGGAGCUCCUGCUGCAUGGCGGGGGUUGGAAAGUUUCGGCGGUUGGGGAUGGACUCGCGGCUUAUCAGCUUGUUGGUGGGGUAGUGGCUUACCAAGGCUUUGACGGGUAGCCGGCCUGAGAGGGUGACCGGCCACAUUGGGACUGAGAUACGGCCCAGACUCCUACGGGAGGCAGCAGUGGGGAAUAUUGCACAAUGGGCGGAAGCCUGAUGCAGCAACGCCGCGUGCGGGAUGACGGCCUUCGGGUUGUAAACCGCUUUCGCCUGUGACGAAGCGUGAGUGACGGUAAUGGGUAUAGAAGCACCGGCUAACUACGUGCCAGCAGCCGCGGUGAUACGUAGGGUGGGAGCGUUGUCCGGAUUUAUUGGGCGUAAAGGGCUCGUAGGUGGUUGAUCGCGUCGGAAGUGUAAUCUUGGGGCUUAACCCUGAGCGUGCUUUCGAUACGGGUUGACUUGAGGAAGGUAGGGGAGAAUGGAAUUCCUGGUGGAGCGGUGGAAUGCGCAGAUAUCAGGAGGAACACCAGUGGCGAAGGCGGUUCUCUGGGCCUUUCCUGACGCUGAGGAGCGAAAGCGUGGGGAGCGAACAGGCUUAGAUACCCUGGUAGUCCACGCUGUAAACGGUGGGUACUAGGUGUGGGGUCCAUUCCACGGGUUCCGUGCCGUAGCUAACGCUUUAAGUACCCCGCCUGGGGAGUACGGCCGCAAGGCUAAAACUCAAAGGAAUUGACGGGGCCCCGCACAAGCGGCGGAGCAUGCGGAUUAAUUCGAUGCAACGCGUAGAACCUUACCUGGGUUUGACAUGGAUCGGGAGUGCUCAGAGAUGGGUGUGCCUCUUUUGGGGUCGGUUCACAGGUGGUGCAUGGCUGUCGUCAGCUCGUGUCGUGAGAUGUUGGGUUAAGUCCCGCAACGAGCGCAACCCUUGUUCACUGUUGCCAGCACGUUAUGGUGGGGACUCAGUGGAGACCGCCGGGGUCAACUCGGAGGAAGGUGGGGAUGACGUCAAGUCAUCAUGCCCCUUAUGUCCAGGGCUUCACGCAUGCUACAAUGGCUGGUACAGAGAGUGGCGAGCCUGUGAGGGUGAGCGAAUCUCGGAAAGCCGGUCUCAGUUCGGAUUGGGGUCUGCAACUCGACCUUAUGAAGUCGGAGUCGCUAGUAAUCGCAGAUCAGCAACGCUGCGGUGAAUACGUUCCCGGGGCU
Molecule: ribosomal RNA, 1346 nt
Filed under: uncultured bacterium
Lineage: Bacteria
Description: partial 16S ribosomal RNA
Rfam family: Bacterial small subunit ribosomal RNA
Source: RNAcentral